GCACAAAACAAACCCCGAAGUGAUCUCUCUUAUUAGAUACCCAUGGCGACAUACUCACAUAUGUUUGUCACCCUUGUCAUCCUUUCUAUUCUCAGUGUCCACUUCCAAGCCCAAGGAGCAACAGAAAGUGUCGCAACUGACAACUCAGUACGUGACAGGAAGACAAUUGUCCAAGGGACCUAUUUGCCUCAAAGAACCGUUUCAAGACGGUGCACACCAUGCAGAAGUUGUGCACAAAAAACUUGUUGCUACGAGUUUAUUUGCAAUGAUCCUACAAAUCCAGGUCUCACUUGCGUUGGUACUAUGCUCUAUUGUGGCUGUACUAUUGAAACUUGUAAUAGUAAUUUUUAAUUUUUUUGCUUACGAAAAUAAAUGGGAAUAAAGCAUGGAAGUUUGUGAUACAAA
Molecule: long non-coding RNA, 405 nt
Organism: Triticum dicoccoides
Lineage: Eukaryota; Viridiplantae; Streptophyta; Magnoliopsida; Poales; Poaceae
Exons: 2
Source: RefSeq, a predicted model, not a curated record